This 393-nucleotide ribosomal RNA is filed under the name Pseudomonas syringae pv. syringae. RNAcentral's name for it is "bacterial LSU rRNA". It matches the Rfam family "Bacterial large subunit ribosomal RNA", at positions 2555 to 2925 of the family's 2925-position model. Lineage: Bacteria; Pseudomonadati; Pseudomonadota; Gammaproteobacteria; Pseudomonadales; Pseudomonadaceae. The record is from RNAcentral.
GAAGCCGGUCCCAAGGGUAUGGCUGUUCGCCAUUUAAAGUGGUACGCGAGCUGGGUUUAGAACGUCGUGAGACAGUUCGGUCCCUAUCUGCCGUGGACGUUUGAGAUUUGAGAGGGGCUGCUCCUAGUACGAGAGGACCGGAGUGGACGAACCUCUGGUGUUCCGGUUGUCACGCCAGUGGCAUUGCCGGGUAGCUAUGUUCGGAAAAGAUAACCGCUGAAAGCAUCUAAGCGGGAAACUUGCCUCAAGAUGAGAUCUCACUGGAACCUUGAGUUCCCUAAAGGGCCGUCGAAGACUACGACGUUGAUAGGUUGGGUGUGUAAGCGCUGUGAGGCGUUGAGCUAACCAAUACUAAUUGCCCGUGAGGCUUGACCAUAUAACACCCAAGCAAUU